Lepisosteus oculatus (spotted gar) is the source of this 2523-nucleotide long non-coding RNA. RefSeq lists it as uncharacterized. Lineage: Eukaryota; Metazoa; Chordata; Actinopteri; Semionotiformes; Lepisosteidae. The record is from RefSeq and is a predicted model, not a curated record.
UCGUCCUCCAAAUACACUUGCUCCAUUGAAUAACUGGACGCUUAAAAAGAACUUGAUUGAAAAGGUUUAUGAAUGUGACAAGUCCCGUUGCCUUCCGUUUUCAGAGGUGAAAACCUGAACGGAUCUACCUUAUCCUUGCAUUCGCAAAUGCUGCUGAAAAGAACCGGGUACGUGGGAAAGAACUAUGCUUUGGACUACCUAGGUGCAUAAAAUCUACUUCAACAACGAGCAUCUGAAAUGGGUGCGGUGUUUUUACCAUCUGGUAAAGAAGAUUAAGAGGCUCUGAGCCAAAUCCAGAAGAGGAAGGAAUGCCCGAUAGGCAUGGCUGCAAUGCCAGACGAUGGCUAAUUUUAGCAGUUUACACUUGGCUUUAUAGUGGCUAAAUGAAAAUGUCCAUCUUCCAAAGACUACAAUGUUCAAUGCAUGGCAUUUAUCACCUUCUCUUAAGCCAGUAGAGAGUGAAAUGGAACAGGAACAAUUCGAUUGAAUUAUGAAAUGGAACAGAAACAAUUUGAUUGAAUUGUGAAAUGGAACAGGAACAAUUAGAUUGCUGGGAAACAAUUAUAUUUUCAAAAAGUAAUUUUGCAUUUCAUAGUUAAAACAUGUUGCUUCAAUGAUUCUCAUCACAUUUUAAACCCUCAACAAAUGCAAAGCUUGUUUCAAACCAUUUUUCCCCAAUCCCUUGAAUAAAUUUCAGGUGGUCUGACACGGUAACUUCUCAAAUUUGGUAAAGCUGUUUUUUAUGAUUUUUUACAAGACUGAAUAUUGUUAACAAAAUAAAUAGCUUUAAUUGCUAUAUAUUUACAAGAUAUAUACAGUACAUAGUCUGUCUUUUCUCCCAUUCUAUCUGAAUCUUAUAGGCGACAAUAUACAACUCUAUAUUAUAAUGCAAAUCAAAUGCAUUUUGAAAAGGGCUAACUGUGCUUUUUACUGUCUUAAUCUUCCCACUGAAAGACGCAGAACGGUAACCUAAAAUACCAAAAUAACAUGAUUUUGUUUUUGAGCUGAAAGGCAACACAGUAAAUUUAGUAUGUCCAUUUGAGGAGUAAGAGAAAUCCAAAUAUAAAUGUGGUUCUCCUUUUGAAAAAGGGCAGGAACCACCGUUAUAUACAUUUUUAUGCACCUCUUGCAAUUCAGGGUGACUGCACUUUUAAAUACAACAUUUCUGAACACUUGAGAAACACGCUAAUACCCUAAUCCUGUUCAGUUUAAGUCCAUAUAGAUAUAGAUUUUAACUAAGGACAUAAGAAAGUUUGAAAUAAAAGGAGUCUAUCUAGUCAGUAGUGAACUGAUCCAAGGAUCUCACCCAGACGUUUCUUGAAUGAAGCCAUGAUCGGCUUCAACAACAUUGCUGGGUAGCUGGUUUCAUACAUCCAUAACUUUAUGGGUAAAGAAGUGCCUCCUGUUUGUGGUUAUAUCAUAUAUACCAUUAGUUUUUCAAGCUAACACUUAGAAUAUAUUGUUGUCACUAUUCUCUACUCAUUGCUGAGUUCAAAAUAAGUGUCCUCAGAUUUUCAGUUAGUUCGCAUGUUCCUAAUGACCGUUUUUCCAAAUAAAGGCUUCUUUGAAGAAUACAGAUUACUUAAAGAGAUAUCUAAUCAAUAACAGAUAGUAAUUCGUUUUCACUCAUUACAAAAUGUGUCAGACGUUAUUUCACAUCAUCUUUGUCUAAAAAAACUAAAUUUGCAGGGUUUUAGAAAGAGAACACUAUUUUUAGUCACUUAUUAUACUGAUGUAGGGACAUGAUGGCAAAAAAAAUCUGAUAAAGAUUUCAUAAGUUGGCAAAUGCAUUUUAAGGAAGACAUUAAAAAUACUUCAUGAUGUGCUAUGUCUAUAUUGACUAUCUGUCAUAAUAAAUCAUUUAGAUAAAAAUCACAGCUUUCCAAAUAAUGAAUACACCUUUUUCAUAUUAACACUGACUACUCUGAGUGUAAUACAGUCAUUAAGAAGUGGGUGAGAUACUUAUAAUGUCCUCAUAAAUUACUUCAUAUUAUUAAAUAGCCAACUUUAUUGAGUUCCAAUAGAAUCUUCUGAAGUGAAAUGUGAUCAUACCUGUAAGCAUGCAAUUUUCCCAAUCGUCAACUAUCAUUACUAAUAGUGCUAACCAAAAAGUGCACUGAGCUGUCAGACUAUACUCCACAAUAAGAAGGUUUAUUGUAUUUUCUAAGUUAUUACCUGUGGUACGUGAAGGUCUCACACACUUCUAUAACAGCACUAUCAGAACAAACUCUGAACCUACUAAAGGUAACAACAUACAGAAAUAUUUUCACCGUCAAUCCAAAUUAGAACAAGACAGAUAAUGCAAUUUUUUUAUACAGUACUUAGCACCACUUUACAACCAUUCCAACGUCAUAGGAGAUGUUCCAAGCAAUUCUGUUCCGUGUUUGGCUUGCAUUUUUGUUAUUUAAGUGUAUAUUGGAGCCUAAUGGCAAGUGAAAUAAAUAAUAGUUCCAAUGAUGAUUAAUCCCACCAUGUGCAGGUGGAUGCUGCACAUUGUUGGUGGUGGAGGGGAGUCCCCAGCGC